AAUAACAUAAACAUUUUAACGGCCGCGGUAUCCCUGACCGUGCUAAGGUAGCACAAUCAUGAGCCUCCUAAUUAGAGGAUAGAAUGAAUGAAUUAACAAGAAAAUUGCUGUCUCUUUCAUAAUAAUUGAAAUUUAAAUUUAGGUGAAAAUGCCUAAUUUUCCAAUAAAGACAGAAAGACCCUAUAAGCUUUUACAAUAAUAUUAUAUUAAUAAAAAUGUAUUUAACUGGGGCGGUUCCAAGAAAAAAACACUUUUUUAAUUGAUAAGAAAAAUAUUUCGACUAAUUUAUCUAUAAACACCCAAGUAAGUUACUGUAGGGAUAACAGACUAAUACUUCUUAAGAGCACAAAUCAACAGAAGUGCUUAGUACCUCGAUGUUGGCUUAAGGAUCCCGUAUUAUGUAGCAGUAAAACAGGGGGGUUUGUUCAACCUUUAAUACCUUACAUGAUCUGAG
RNAcentral lists this ribosomal RNA (454 nucleotides) under Syllinae sp. 2 MTA-2011. Its description in RNAcentral is "partial 16S ribosomal RNA". It matches the Rfam family "Bacterial large subunit ribosomal RNA", at positions 1907 to 2609 of the family's 2925-position model. The record is from RNAcentral. Lineage: Eukaryota; Metazoa; Annelida; Polychaeta; Phyllodocida; Syllidae.